GCGGGAUUGGUUUAAUGGUAGAAUGUAACCUUGCCAUGGUUGAGAAACGGGUUCGAUUCCCGUAUCCCGCUCCA
This 74-nucleotide transfer RNA is filed under the name Minisyncoccota bacterium. RNAcentral's name for it is "tRNA-Gly". It matches the Rfam family "tRNA". From Rfam's summary of the family: Transfer RNA (tRNA) molecules are approximately 80 nucleotides in length. Their secondary structure includes four short double-helical elements and three loops (D, anti-codon, and T loops). Lineage: Bacteria; Bacillati; Minisyncoccota. The record is from RNAcentral.